This 465-nucleotide ribosomal RNA is filed under the name Vreelandella stevensii. Its description in RNAcentral is "partial 16S ribosomal RNA". It matches the Rfam family "Bacterial small subunit ribosomal RNA", at positions 338 to 795 of the family's 1533-position model. The record is from RNAcentral. Lineage: Bacteria; Pseudomonadati; Pseudomonadota; Gammaproteobacteria; Oceanospirillales; Halomonadaceae.
CCUACGGGAGGCUGCAGUGGGGAAUAUUGGACAAUGGGGGCAACCCUGAUCCAGCCAUACCGCGUGUGUGAAGAAGGCCCUCGGGUUGUAAAGCACUUUCAGUGAGGAAGAACGCCUGGUGGUUAAUACCCAUCAGGAAAGACAUCACUCACAGAAGAAGCACCGGCUAACUCCGUGCCAGCAGCCGCGGUAAUACGGAGGGUGCGAGCGUUAAUCGGAAUUACUGGGCGUAAAGCGCGCGUAGGUGGCUUGAUAAGCCGGUUGUGAAAGCCCCGGGCUCAACCUGGGAACGGCAUCCGGAACUGUCAAGCUAGAGUGCAGGAGAGGAAGGUAGAAUUCCCGGUGUAGCGGUGAAAUGCGUAGAGAUCGGGAGGAAUACCAGUGGCGAAGGCGGCCUUCUGGACUGACACUGACACUGAGGUGCGAAAGCGUGGGUAGCAAACAGGAUUAGAUACCCUGGUAGUC